This 1367-nucleotide ribosomal RNA is filed under the name Promicromonospora endophytica. RNAcentral's name for it is "16S ribosomal RNA". It matches the Rfam family "Bacterial small subunit ribosomal RNA". Lineage: Bacteria; Bacillati; Actinomycetota; Actinomycetes; Micrococcales; Promicromonosporaceae. The record is from RNAcentral.
AGUAACACGUGAGCAACCUGCCCCCUACUUCGGGAUAAGCCUUGGAAACGGGGUCUAAUACCGGAUAUGAACACGUGCCGCAUGGUGGGUGUUGGAAAGUUUUUCGGUGGGGGAUGGGCUCGCGGCCUAUCAGCUUGUUGGUGGGGUAAUGGCCUACCAAGGCGUCGACGGGUAGCCGGCCUGAGAGGGCGACCGGCCACACUGGGACUGAGACACGGCCCAGACUCCUACGGGAGGCAGCAGUGGGGAAUAUUGCACAAUGGGCGAAAGCCUGAUGCAGCGACGCCACGUGAGGGAUGACGGCCUUCGGGUUGUAAACCUCUUUCAGCAGGGAAGAAGCGUAAGUGACGGUACCUGCAGAAGAAGCGCCGGCUAACUACGUGCCAGCAGCCGCGGUAAUACGUAGGGCGCAAGCGUUGUCCGGAAUUAUUGGGCGUAAAGAGCUCGUAGGCGGUCUGUCCCGUCUGGUGUGAAAUCCCAUGGCUCAACUGUGGGCUUGCAUCGGGUACGGGCAGACUAAGUGCUGUAGGGGGAGACUGGAAUUCCUGGUGUACCGGUGAAAAUGCCAUAUUCAGAGGACCCGAUGGCAAGGCGGUCUCGGGCAGUUACUGACGCUGAGGAGCGAAAGCAUGGGGAGCGAACAGGAUUAGAUACCCUGGUAGUCCAUGCCGUAAACGUUGGGCACUAGGUGUGGGGCCAGUUCCACUGGUUCUGUGCCGUAGCUAACGCAUUAAGUGCCCCGCCUGGGGAGUACGGCCGCAAGGCUAAAACUCAAAGGAAUUGACGGGGGCCCGCACAAGCGGCGGAGCAUGCGGAUUAAUUCGAUGCAACGCGAAGAACCUUACCAAGGCUUGACAUGUACGAGAACGCCCCAGAGAUGGGGUUCUCUUUGGACACUCGUACACAGGUGGUGCAUGGUUGUCGUCAGCUCGUGUCGUGAGAUGUUGGGUUAAGUCCCGCAACGAGCGCAACCCUUAUCCUAUGUUGCCAGCGGGUUAUGCCGGGGACUCAUGGGAGACUGCCGGGGUCAACUCGGAGGAAGGUGGGGAUGACGUCAAAUCAUCAUGCCCCUUAUGUCUUGGGCUUCACGCAUGCUACAAUGGCCGGUACAGAGGGCUGCGAUACCGUGAGGUGGAGCGAAUCCCAAAAAGCCGGUCUCAGUUCGGAUCGGGGUCUGCAACUCGACCCCGUGAAGUCGGAGUCGCUAGUAAUCGCAGAUCAGCAACGCUGCGGUGAAUACGUUCCCGGGCCUUGUACACACCGCCCGUCAAGUCACGAAAGUUGGUAACACCCGAAGCUCACGGCCCAACCCCUUGUGGGAGGGAGUGGUCGAAGGUGGGACUGGCGAUUGGGACUAAGUCGUAACA